UUUAUAUAUGAGACAACGAUGUAAGGUAUUUUUUUUUUUUUUUUUUUUUUUUUUUUUUUUUUUUUUUUUUUUUUUUUUUUUUUUUUUGUUUUUUUUUUUUUUUUUUUUUUUUUUUUUUUUUUUUUUUUUUUUUUUUUUUUUUUUUUUUUUUUUUUUUUUAUCUAUAUAUGGUUUUUUUUUUUUUUUUUUUUUUUUUUUUUUUUUUUUUUUUUUUUUUUUUUUUUUUUUUUUUUUUUUUUUUUUAAUUAUGAGUAUAUUGAUCUUUUUUUUUUUUUUGAUUAUGCAUUUAUGUGUUUUAUUGAUUUACAGAGUAUUUUUUUUUUUUUUUUUUUUUUUUUUUUUUUUUUUUUUUUUUUUUUUUUUUUUUUUAAUACUAUAUAAUAUAUUAAGUAAUCUUAAAAACUAGUACACAAAAGCU
Molecule: unclassified non-coding RNA, 418 nt
Filed under: Melitaea cinxia (Glanville fritillary)
Lineage: Eukaryota; Metazoa; Arthropoda; Insecta; Lepidoptera; Nymphalidae
Description: misc RNA ENSMCXG00005021893.1
Source: RNAcentral